CCUGCUUGGGGAAAGGAGCUACUCACAACAGGUCUCCUCUCUUCUGAGAGCUGGACACUUGUUGGGAGAACCUGCCUGC
This is a microRNA precursor of Pan paniscus (pygmy chimpanzee), 79 nucleotides long. The record is from Ensembl. Lineage: Eukaryota; Metazoa; Chordata; Mammalia; Primates; Hominidae.